Molecule: unclassified non-coding RNA, 1762 nt
Filed under: Hevea brasiliensis (rubber tree)
Lineage: Eukaryota; Viridiplantae; Streptophyta; Magnoliopsida; Malpighiales; Euphorbiaceae
Source: RNAcentral
ACAGUCAAAACAAAACUAUUUGAGAGUAUUGCUAAUCCUUUCGUGCAAACCUCAAGUGAAAUGAAAAAUAAAUAAAUUAGUUAACUAAACUACAUGAUGACUAAUGUGCGAUUGACUGUGUUGUGGGCUACCACUUUUUAGUAUUGACUGUGUUGCUGAGUUAUGUUAGUAUUCACUGAUACAGAAUUAAUAUUCUACGCAUGAAGACAAUACUCAAGAAUAUAAUACUUCGUCCCAUGAUAAAUCUUGUCAGGAUUGUGUUCUUUGUGUCUGGUUCUUACAGCCUUUUUAAUCUUGUAUUAUCGCAGCUCUGCCAAAAAGGGAUUAAGGUAACCAUUGUUUGUCCUGGGCCAAUAGAAACAUCACAUGGCUAUGGAGCUACAACCUCGGCAAGGAAGGGUUCUGAGGUGAAACGUGUAAUUAUAUGAUUAAAAAACCUUUAAUUAUAUGAUUAAAAUUGGCUUUCACUUACAACUUAUAUUCUUGCACUCUGUUUUGGACAAACCAAAUGUUCUAUAAUUGCGAAGUGUUGUGCAAUUAUGAAGAACAAAGCAGAUUGGAAGCCAAUAUCUUUCUUUCUUUCAGAACGUAUUUCAUCCAGUUUCACAUCUUUAGUGAUGAUUGAUUACUUAGUUCUGCCUGUUUGUUUUUAACUGAAUGGUAUCGUGUUUGCAGAAUCAUGUGUCGUCAGAAAGGUGUGCAGAAUUGACAAUUAUUGCAGCCACCCAUGGUUUAAAGGAGGCUUGGAUAUCACAUCAGGUAUUUGCCAUUAGAAUAGCUUCUGCUAUAUUCCUUGUACUUGUUUUUAUAAUUAAUUCACGUACUUCAAUUACACAGAAGGCAUGCUAUGAUCAUUAAACAUGGUACAGUAUGUUAUUGUGUACAUUCACCUUGGUGAUUGAUUCAUAAUGAAUUGUAUUUCCUCCAUUAUGAAGUGUUCCUCCUUUCCACAGUGAAAAGGCAAUGUUCAAUUUGUAUCUACUUUCUAAAUCACCCUUACCGUAAUGUCAUCCCUGUUGCAUAUCAAUAUGUGGAGUCCAAAGUUGGUAUCAUAAUUAAAUUAAUGUGUUAAUUAUUCUCUCCUUAAAUUGCAGACUUCUUCAAAAGAAAACAAAAAUUUUUGGAUUGGCUUCAUAAUCUAGCUUUGCAAUACUGUUCUCAUAUAUUUUUGCCAUUACACUGGUUGAAAUCCAUGCAUAUGGAAACUUUUCUUUGCUUUUAUCAUAAAAUGUUGCAAGUUUUUAUAUUAUCUAGUUUAUUUUUGUAGCAUAUUCUAGUUUGUGCAAAUCUUAAUAUUUUGAUAUUUCUUUCAGCCAGUACUUACUGUUAUGUAUCUAGUGCAAUACAUGCCAACCAUUGGCUACUGGCUCAUGGAUAAGGUAUCCUCUAACGAAUCCAUGAAACAUUUUCUGUAUGCUUGUGGCCCAUUUUUCUGCAAUUUUCAAUUGCGGCAUCUCACUUUGAUCCAUUUUUGUGAUAUUAAGUGCUUAUCAUUUUUAAUUAGUUGCAUGUCUAAUUGAGUCAAAUUUAUGAUUGACCGAGUCAGAUUGGAGGAAAGCGAGUUGAAGUAGCUGCACAGAAAGGCAACACAUACUCAUGGAGCUUAUUGCUUGGAAACAAAAAGGCCUGAAUUUCUCAUCAAGUUAUAAUCGAAUUGGAUGAAAACCUAAAUCGAGAGGAAUCUUUUAUAGUUCUGAUUUUGGUUCCUUCAAACUUUGAACCCAAAUGGAUUAAUUUUAGUCCGAUUCAAUCAAUCAGCUAA